UGAGUAAUGUCUGGGAAACUGCCUGAUGAGGGGNUAACUACUGAACGGUAGCUAAUACCGCAUAACGUCGCAAGACCAAAGAGGGGGACCUUCGGGCCUCUUGCCAUCGGAUGUGCCCAGAUGGGAUUAGCUAGUAGGUGGGGUAACGGCUCACCUAGGCGACGAUCCCUAGCUGGUCUGAGAGGAUGACCAGCCACACUGGAACUGAGACACGGUCCAGACUCCUACGGGAGGCAGCAUG
Molecule: ribosomal RNA, 241 nt
Filed under: uncultured bacterium
Lineage: Bacteria
Description: partial 16S ribosomal RNA
Rfam family: Bacterial small subunit ribosomal RNA
Source: RNAcentral